Molecule: ribosomal RNA, 404 nt
Filed under: uncultured bacterium
Lineage: Bacteria
Description: partial 16S ribosomal RNA
Rfam family: Bacterial small subunit ribosomal RNA
Source: RNAcentral
GACGAACGCUGGCGGCGUGCUUAACACAUGCAAGUCGAACAGUGGCGAACGGGUGGGUAACACGUGAGUAACCUGCCCUCCCCUUUGGGAUAACUCCGAGCAGUCGGGGCUACUACUGGAUCGUGGGGGAUGGGCUCGCGGCCUAUCCGUUUGUUGGUGAGGUAGUGGUCACCAAGGCGUGACGGGUAGCCGGCCUGCGAGGGCGACCGGCCACACGGGGACUGAGACAGGGACCAGACUGCUACGGGAGGCAGUAGGGGGGAAUAUUGCACAGUGGGCGAAAGUCUGAUGCAGCGGCGCCGGGUGGGGGAUGACGGCCUUCGGGUUGUAAACCUCUUUCAGCAAGGAAGCGGUACUUGCAGAAGAAGCGCCGGCUAACUACGUGCCAGCAGCCGCGGUAAUUC